RNAcentral lists this long non-coding RNA (3308 nucleotides) under Triticum aestivum (bread wheat). RNAcentral describes it as "long non-coding RNA (TAES_LNC010607)". Lineage: Eukaryota; Viridiplantae; Streptophyta; Magnoliopsida; Poales; Poaceae. The record is from RNAcentral.
UAGAUUCAUUGUGUAGGUUGGGGCGCUAGAUAUGAUCCAUAUCUAACAUAUCUGAUAGGCUCAACCAAUGCUCAUGAGAAAAUGCAGCGAAAUGUACUGUCAUCAUAUUAUUUCACAAUUCAUACUCACUGAAUACGAGUAAAAGAGAGCACUUCAAACAAAAAUUACAAACACUUGAAUUAAAAACUUUCCAUGACCUCUCUUCAUGUUUUUAUCCAUGUUUUUGGUAGAAAGGAAAUUAAAGAUUGUUCAGCAGGCUUCUUCCUAACCCACAAGACAAAAUAAAACAGAGUGAUGUUCUCUUGUAAAGGAAAGCUUUUAUUUCAAGACCACAUCGAAGAAGCAGGCAUGAGGGAACCUUCAGCGGCGCAACCACUGCACUCUGGUGUUGAUUUGGAUCCAAAAGGCAGUUAGAUGUCAAAGGGUUGCCUCAAGAAUGCCUCCAUUUGCUUCGCCCUAGUCCUGAUCGACAUGUCAAACACCUUCUGCCCAAAUUCAAUCACCAGUCCUCCCAUGAUACCCUGGUCAAUCUGCAGAGAAAGUACAAUUUGAAGUUUGUUCAAUAUUACUUGACACCUCACAUGCUAUAGAGAUACCUUGUGGAUCAAGGACUUACCUUUUGUUCAACCAAGAUGGUUUUGUCUUUCCCAAGGAUAUCACGCAAGGUCUCCUUAAGUUCUUUCUCCUCCUUCUCAGGAAGUGGCUAUCAGCACAAAACAGAUAAGUCAGCAACCAAAACCAAACUAUUGUCAACACAGUCAGGAUCUAUAACAGAAGUUGCACAGAGAAUGCAUCCACGCAUUGACAAACCAGCUUAAAAAACAUGACAAGUUUUCCACAAUUUAUCAAGGUAAUAGCUCCUCGUUAACAUAUGGCAGGAAUUCUAAGAUAAGCCUGUUAAGAGUUGAACUUUGAGUGAUGGCAAGUACAAACGUUCCAACUCAAUCAACUAAAAGACUUCCUACUGCCAUAACAAAUAGUUUCGGAUCAAUUCAACUCAACUUUAUAAUUUUAAGGAAUGAAUUUUAGCUCAUGCAGGUAACUUCUAAAAUAUUAUCUGCAUUUAACAUUUUUGCAAACAAAAAAAAAUCCUAUUUUAUCUCAAUGAGUACUAAACCCCCAAAGGCAGCAAUUUGUUAGUUCACUGGAUCAUGCCAUACUAUUAGGCACAUGAAAGGAGAGAACCCAACUAACAAGCAUUUUAGUUGCAGUUGGUUUCUGUUGGUGCGGAGCAGAAGGCAACCCUACUUCCAGCUUGAAAGAAUAGGUUAUAGCUAACUACAGGGACAUAUCAACAAAAACAACAGUAGUAAACCAGGAAGGCACAAGAACUUCAUAACAAAUUAAUAUACGAAAGAAGACAACAAAUGGUCAUUUCAUGUUACCAAGAAUCAAGGUAAGGCUAAUCAUAUGCACAUGCAUCAAACUUCCUUUCAUAUGUGAUGAAAGUGAACACUGAGAAAUUCGACCAGCGUCAAACACACAGUGCUCUUAGUAGCAAGAGACAAAUAAAUAGUGGGAUAUCAGGUUAUCAACUUACAACAACAGUCCUGACAACAACUUUCACCUCCCCCCUAUGUGCCAUGGUCAAAUCAACAAAUCUCUCAGCAAUGCGUUCAACAUAUUUCAGUCUUCCAUUGGAUGCCAAUGCAGCUUCACAUAAAAGAAAAAAUUAGACGCGAAUAAAAUUCCUUAUAACUAAGUUCUCUAUAAGUUUUAGAUUGUAUGCAUAUCAUCACUUAUCAGUGAUACCAUGUACCUUAAUUGAAAAGAAAUUCCUGCGAUCGAUACUUAAAUUAGGUUGUUAACUAAUACAACUGAAAACAACAUCAUAACAGAUAAGAAAUGCAAACGGUGUUACUUUGAUUGAAAAUAUUACUGCAAAAGAAAGCAAACUGUUGACAAAGCAAGCAACAUUGGAAACAAAAUAACUAAAAAUAGUCCCAUGCAUUUGGAUUGGUACAUCACUAAAGCACAUGCUGCUAAAAACUAUAACUUAGUAUCUCUUAUUAUAAGCACCUACAAUGAACUUCAUUAGACAUAAGAGGUUGAGUGGAUUGGAAGCAUACACAAGAAUUUCUUUGUGAUGUCAGUAAACCCGGCUUCAGAGAAUAUUUCAGUUAUAGCCUUCACCCUGGUUUCUUUAGGCACUGAUGUGUCCUUCAUGAAUUGAGAAAACAUAGGGCUCUUCUUGGAUGCCCCUACAACAUCGAGAAUCUCAGAUUCAACUUUUUCCAACGAAUUUGCGUUGGCUGCUGCAAGGAACAACGCACUAGCAUAGUUGCCGGUGCCACCAUACAGAGCUUUUGGAACCUAUUAUGGCAUAAGAACACAAGUAAGGACAAAACAACAGACAAAGCCACCAAGUAACCAAUUUACUGAAUUGCACAAGUAGUAUUAAAAGUUUGAAACAGAUUAUGUAAAACAUAAGACAAGAGAAUACAUCCAUCAAUGGCAUGAACAUUUUUGUGCUGCGAUUGAUACACUAAACAAAUGCAACGUGAACAAUCUGUCUUCGCUGAGUAAACUAAUUUGAGUGAUUGUUGCAGUAUGUGAUAGCAACAAGCAUGGUUACACUCCAACAGGAUAUGAAAUAGUUUAAAACCAGUAAAGGCUAAGUUUCUCAAGAUCAAGGCAUUUCGGCCAUAAUGACAUAUCACAUAUGGGAUCCCAACAAGAAAAAUGUAGAUUUCUUUGCGCAGGCAGGCAGGCAAACAUAAACAGUUGCAUGAUUCUUAUGGUCCCUUGAUAAGUUGACCAGACCGUCAAAGUAAUCUGCGGCACUCACAACGAACAUAGAUAGAAUCUCGCGGUCCUAAACUGGUACAUCCGCAGACCGCAACACAACGACAACAGCAACAAUCCAACCAAAUGCCUGAUCUCGAGUUACCUUGAUCUUGUUCUCCUUAGGCUUAUCCGUCUGCGUUGCCAACCCCCUCGACGCCUGCAUCAUAAAUAACACGUCAAAACCAACGACCGAAGAAAAAAUCACACCGAAAUCGAUUCGACGAGACGACAGAUUUGAAUCAAUGGGGGGAAACUAUCCAGGGAUGUCAGCAACACAAGGCGAACCUAGAUCAGCCAGCUAAGGGGAUCGACGGGCUACCGAAAUCUGAGGGGAAUGGCAUCUUCUGAUUGAGCCAAACAAAGAGGGGGGACAGGGAAGGGAAUCGGGACCUGAGCGACGGCCGCGGAUUCGGUGGCCGCGAGGCGGGCUUGGAGGAGCGGGACGCCGGAUCUGAGGUGCCGCGCCGCCAUUUCCGGUUCGUUCCGCGGUGGUGGAGAGCGAAACCUAGGAGGAGAUCGGG